RNAcentral lists this ribosomal RNA (380 nucleotides) under uncultured eukaryote. RNAcentral describes it as "partial 18S ribosomal RNA". It matches the Rfam family "Eukaryotic small subunit ribosomal RNA", at positions 592 to 976 of the family's 1831-position model. The record is from RNAcentral.
CAAUAGCGUAUAUUAAAGUUGUUGCAGUUAAAAAGCUCGUAGUUGGAUUUGUGGCGUACGGUGUGUUCCGGGCACUUGUUGUCUGAGUAACCUGCUGUUGCCAUCCUUGGGUGGAACCUGUGUGGCAUUAGGUUGUCGUGCAGGGGAUGCCCAUCAUUUACUGUGAAAAAAUUAGAGUGUUCAAAGCAGGCUUAUGCCGUUGAAUAUAUUAGCAUGGAAUAAUGAGAUAGGACUUUUUUGCUAUUUUGUUGGUUUGCGCAAAGAGGUAAUGAUUAAUGGGGACAGUUGGGGGUAUUCGUAUUCCAUUGUCAGAGGUGAAAUUCUUGGAUUUUUGGAAGACGAACUACUGCGAAAGCAUUUACCAAGGAUGUUUUCAUUAA